CUAAUACCCAAUGAUAUCUCUAGAAGGCAUCUGAAAGAGAUUAAAGAUUUAUCGGUGAUGGAUGGGGAUGCGUCUGAUUAGCUUGUUGGCGGGGUAACGGCCCACCAAGGCAACGAUCAGUAGGGGUUCUGAGAGGAAGGUCCCCCACAUUGGAACUGAGACACGGUCCAAACUCCUACGGGAGGCAGCAGUGAGGAAUAUUGGUCAAUGGACGAGAGUCUGAACCAGCCAAGUAGCGUGCAGGAAGAUGGCCCUAUGGGUUGUAAACUGCUUUUAUAAGGGAAUAAAGUGAGUCUCGUGAGACUUUUUGCAUGUACCUUAUGAAUAAGGACCGGCUAAUUCCGUGCCAGCAGCCGCGGUAAUACGGAAGGUCCGGGCGUUAUCCGGAUUUAUUGGGUUUAAAGGGAGCGUAGGCCGGAGAUUAAGCGUGUUGUGAAAUGUAGAUGCUCAACAUCUGAACUGCAGCGCGAACUGGUUUCCUUGAGUACGCACAAAGUGGGCGGAAUUCGUGGUGUAGCGGUGAAAUGCUUAGAUAUCACGAAGAACUCCGAUUGCGAAGGCAGCUCACUGGAGCGCAACUGACGCUGAAGCUCGAAAGUGCGGGUAUCGAACAGGAUUAGAUACCCUGGUAGUCCGCACGGUAAAC
Molecule: ribosomal RNA, 646 nt
Filed under: uncultured bacterium
Lineage: Bacteria
Description: bacterial SSU rRNA
Rfam family: Bacterial small subunit ribosomal RNA
Source: RNAcentral